ACGAAUCAAACAUCAUUAAUCAUCGAGUUACAUUGUUGAUUUUUUGUAAUUUUCCUUUACAUAUUUAAUCUUUGUUAAAUACAACAUUUUCUUCUUUUAUGUUUCCAACCAUUCGAAAUCGUUGACUAUAAUUUUUCUAAAAGAUAAUUUAAAAAGUAAUAUAAUUUAUUUAAAUUUUAUUUCAUUUUAAAAUGUAAUUGAUGUAAAAUCUAAAAUCAUAAUUAGUUUAAGAACAUAACAUAUACGUAAGUUGUUC
Molecule: long non-coding RNA, 256 nt
Filed under: Vigna radiata
Lineage: Eukaryota; Viridiplantae; Streptophyta; Magnoliopsida; Fabales; Fabaceae
Description: long non-coding RNA (VRAD_LNC003973)
Source: RNAcentral